CCUACGGGCGGCAGCAGUGGGGAAUAUUGCACAAUGGGGGAAACCCUGAUGCAGCGACGCCGCGUGAGUGAAGAAGUAUUUCGUUAUGUUAAGCUCUAUCAGCAGGGAAGCAAAUGACGGUACCUGAGUAAGAAGCCCCGGCUAACUACGUGCCAGCAGCCGCGGUAAUACGUAGGGGGCAAGCGUUAUCCGGAUUUACUGGGUGUAAAGGGAGCGUAGACGGGAGUGCAAGUCUGGAGUGAAAGGCGGGGGGUCAACCCCCGGACUGCUCUGGAAACUGGACGGCUGGAGUGCAGGAGAGGUAAGUGGAAUUCCUAGUGUAGCGGUGAAAUGCGUAGAUAUUAGGAGGAACACCAGUGGCGAAGGCGGCUUACUGGACUGUAACUGACGUUGAGGCUCGAAAGCGUGGGGAGCAAACAGGAUUAGAUACCCGUGUAGUC
This 440-nucleotide ribosomal RNA is filed under the name uncultured bacterium. RNAcentral describes it as "partial 16S ribosomal RNA". It matches the Rfam family "Bacterial small subunit ribosomal RNA", at positions 338 to 795 of the family's 1533-position model. The record is from RNAcentral.